GGAGGGUUGGCUGAGUGGUCGAAAGCGCCUCACUGCUAACGAGGUAGGGGUUUACGCCCCUCAAGGGUUCGAAUCCCUUACCCUCCG
Molecule: transfer RNA, 87 nt
Filed under: Patescibacteria group bacterium
Lineage: Bacteria
Description: tRNA-Ser
Rfam family: tRNA
About the family: Transfer RNA (tRNA) molecules are approximately 80 nucleotides in length.
Source: RNAcentral